RNAcentral lists this ribosomal RNA (497 nucleotides) under uncultured bacterium. RNAcentral's name for it is "partial 16S ribosomal RNA". It matches the Rfam family "Bacterial small subunit ribosomal RNA", at positions 28 to 507 of the family's 1533-position model. The record is from RNAcentral.
GAUGAACGCUGGCGGCGUGCCUAAUACAUGCCAGUCGAGCGAACAGAUGAGGAGCUUGCUCCUCUGACGUUAGCGGCGGACGGGUGAGUAACACGUGGAUAACCUACCUAUAAGACUGGGAUAACUUCGGGAAACCGGAGCUAAUACCGGAUAAUAUAUUGAACCGCAUGGUUCAAUAGUGAAAGACGGUUUUGCUGUCACUUAUAGAUGGAUCCGCGCCGCAUUAGCUAGUUGGUAAGGUAACGGCUUACCAAGGCAACGAUGCGUAGCCGACCUGAGAGGGUGAUAGGCCACACUGGAACUGGGACACGGUCCAGACUCCUACGGGAGGCAGCAGUAGGGAAUCUUCCGCAAUGGGCGAAAGCCUGACGGAGCAACGCCGCGUGAGUGAUGAAGGUCUUCGGAUCGUAAAACUCUGUUAUUAGGGAAGAACAAAUGUGUAAGUAACUAUGCACGUCUUGACGGUACCUAAUCAGAAAGCCACGGCUAACUACGUG